AAUAAAUAAAAGAGUGCACCAAAGGACUAAAUCAAAACAGACGCAAAGCGCGGAAGGGUUAUCCGCACAAAUAGCCCAUUUACCAGAAACACGUGGAUCUCCCCCGGGUCAGGUCGCGCGCGGGUCGUAUGUCUGAAACGACGACAUUUUUGUGCUUACCCUUUGGCCCAAAAUGGCGCCGUUUCGGGUAAGCUAUAAAUACCAAUUUUUUUAAAAAUCCUUAUUAUUCCUUCAUUUAUAAAAAAACAAAAAAAAAAACUUUCUUUUAAACUCUUUC
RNAcentral lists this long non-coding RNA (277 nucleotides) under Gossypium raimondii (Peruvian cotton). Its description in RNAcentral is "long non-coding RNA (GRAI_LNC009048)". The record is from RNAcentral. Lineage: Eukaryota; Viridiplantae; Streptophyta; Magnoliopsida; Malvales; Malvaceae.